AUCCGGUCAUUUAGAGGAAGUAAAAGUCGUAACAAGGUCUCCGUUGGUGAACCAGCGGAGGGAUCAUUACCGAGUUUACAACUCCCAAACCCCUGUGAACAUACCUUAAUGUUGCCUCGGCGGAUCAGCCCGCGCCCCGUAAAACGGGACGGCCCGCCAGAGGACCCAAACUCUAAUGUUUCUUAUUGUAACUUCUGAGUAAAACAAACAAAUAAAUCAAAACUUUCAACAACGGAUCUCUUGGUUCUGGCAUCGAUGAAGAACGCAGCAAAAUGCGAUAAGUAAUGUGAAUUGCAGAAUUCAGUGAAUCAUCGAAUCUUUGAACGCACAUUGCGCCCGCUGGUAUUCCGGCGGGCAUGCCUGUUCGAGCGUCAUUUCAACCCUCAAGCCCUCGGGUUUGGUGUUGGGGAUCGGCUCUGCCUUCUGGCGGUGCCGCCCCCGAAAUACAUUGGCGGUCUCGCUGCAGCCUCCAUUGCGUAGUAGCUAACACCUCGCAACUGGAACGCGGCGCGGCCAUGCCGUAAAACCCCAACUUCUGAAUGUUGACCUCGGAUCAGGUAGGAAUACCCGCUGAACUUAAGCAUAUCAAUAAGCGGAGGAA
RNAcentral lists this small RNA (601 nucleotides) under uncultured fungus. RNAcentral describes it as "eukaryotic LSU rRNA". The stretch from base 221 to 374 matches the Rfam family "5.8S ribosomal RNA". Lineage: Eukaryota; Fungi. The record is from RNAcentral.